UACUGUAUACUAUUAUCUAUAAAAAUAGUAGACCUCACCUAGCCCUUCUGGGGUGACUAGCUACGCCAUAACACAAUCGAAGAGGAUCACAAGACACAGAUCUCUACUCUCGAUGUCAACUCUAAUACACCUUAAGAUUCAAUUGUAUAAGGUGUUUGCAGCAGGUCAUAAGGUGACCAUAGACCAUCUAACGGACAAGGUCGAUUGGCGUCAAGUCGAGCCCAUGGUUUUCCCUUUCCACUCCAAUGCAAUAGACUAACUGGACCAGGGUGCAAAUCCCGACAGAGUCCAUGAAAAUUAUCUCCACCAAGACCAUGUUGGUUCCAGCUAUGAUCCACCGGAGCUAUAUUUCCAGCAAAAACAAGCAGAAAAGGGGGUAAAGAUCCCAAUUCAUAAAUCCUCAUUCUCUUUUGCAACUCCAUCCACUCCACAAUCUUAGUAGUAUAAUCCCCUGCUCUCCAUCUCUCUAGAUCAAUAACCAUCACCCCAGUAUUAAAAUAACAAGGCCUCCGAUUUCGAUUCGCAAAAGUCAAGGAAAGAGAAGGAUUCGACCAAAAAGUCGGCGUGAAGUAAGUAGUAAAAUUAGCAUUGCAGUAUUCAGGUGCUGCUAAAACAGAGUCCCCUGUUAGAGGCGUUGCUGCUAAUUCAGCAAUGUCGUCUACUAAAACAAGGUCCGAAUCAAGAUAAACCACCUUUUGAAGUUGUUGAGGAAGUAGAUCAGCAAGAUAAUUGCGAGCAUAAUUUAAAGGACAAUCUAAAGCAGAGCGAAUUGAGGUUGAAAUUAGUCCUGCUACGGCUGCAACAUGUUGAAUUGGAUAAAUUGUGAAUUGAAGAUACGGAAAUGAUUUCGUAAUAGUCAAGUUCAAAUGUGUGGAUUCAGCAGAUGAAGAAGAGACAAAAUGGAAUACAAUGUUUUCUGGGCAAGAAGAGUGUUGUAGCACUGAAAGAAUAGCAGCCAUAGAUCCCCUGAGAUAAGCUAUAUCAAGAGUCAUAGCUACAUUUACUGAAGAAUUAAUUGAAGAACAACUCGGGGAAUUAUAGAACUGCGGCGCUUCUUUAAAAUGGAGACUGGAAUUGGAAUCAGUGUCAGUGAUUGCAGAAUCAGUACCAUUUAGUGUGGAUAAUAAAGAGAAA
RNAcentral lists this unclassified non-coding RNA (1134 nucleotides) under Hevea brasiliensis (rubber tree). Lineage: Eukaryota; Viridiplantae; Streptophyta; Magnoliopsida; Malpighiales; Euphorbiaceae. The record is from RNAcentral.